RNAcentral lists this ribosomal RNA (425 nucleotides) under uncultured bacterium. Its description in RNAcentral is "bacterial SSU rRNA". It matches the Rfam family "Bacterial small subunit ribosomal RNA", at positions 354 to 796 of the family's 1533-position model. The record is from RNAcentral.
GUGAGGAAUUUUGCACAAUGGGGGCAACCCUGACGCAGCGACGCCGCGUGGAGGACGAAGUCUUUCGGGAUGUAAACUCCUGUCAGUGGGGACGAUAAUGACGGUACCCACAGAGGAAGCACCGGCUAACUCCGUGCCAGCAGCCGCGGUAAGACGGAGGGUGCAAGCGUUGUUCGGAAUUACUGGGCGUAAAGCGUAUGUAGGCGGCAAGUUAAGUUCAAUGUUAAAGCCCACGGCUCAACCGAGGAGAUGCAUUGAAUACUGGCUAGCUAGAGGGUGUUAGAGGAAGACGGAAUUCCCAGUGUAGCGGUGAAAUGCGUAGAUAUUGGGAGGAACAUCGGUAGCGAAAGCGGUCUUCUGGGACAUACCUGACGCUGAGGUACGAAAGCGUGGGGAGCAAACGGGAUUAGAAACCCUUGUAGUCC